UUGACUAGACUCUUGGUGUAGCACAAGAGAAUCUAUGCUGUUUCACUCGUAAGUCAUAUAACUGUCCUUUAGUCUUCAAGUCUGAGAUCCAUAUUACAGACUAGAUGUCGUAAUUACCAAAGUCAAGGGAUCAUGAACCUCACUUAUCAUAAACCAUAUUCCUAGGCUUUGCAUUGUCAUGAGUAAAGGACCCCUUGGUGGAAGUAGCUUGACAGGGAGCAAGAAACAGUACCUUUUGAGGGUACAGACACUCAGGUUCCAGACUUGGAGCUGCAGCUAACUCAGGGAAGUAAGUCAUCUCCCCAUCUUGGAGCUGCAGUUUUCCCAUCUGCAAAAUGAGAGAGUUGAACUAGAUGGUAUUGAAGAUGAUUUCUAGCUCUGUCAUUAUGCAAUCUUUACAGAAGUGGAAACAUCCAUAGACCUGGUCCACUUCAUUUCUAGGUCCUCCUAGAAUCUCCACAUUUGGAGGGACCUACUUACACUCUGUUUUGACCAUGCACAGACUGACCAAGGGCAUACAAGCUAUGCUUUAGGGAAUAAUGUCUUGGCAGACCACACAUGCAGAUCACUCUGCUACUGCCACAUAGUUUUUACAAAACAGUGCCUGUCUUGGCACAAUAGAAGAGUUCUUUCCAUAGAAAGUUAUUCUUGUGAGCUCUUUCAACAUAGAUCAUUGUGGGCUACCACCUUCCUGAGUCCACCUCUAACUACUCUUGGGUGGAGUGUAGAUUGAGGCAUUGCUGAGACACUUACCAGGGCCCUUAAGAAAACUUGCAUAUGGAGGCCAAGCAGACUUUCACCUUCUGUACUAUAGUCAUUCCUCCAGAAAUCUAGAUUGCUUUUAAGAUGCUCUAGUGUCUUAACAAAAUAUGACUUCCUGAGUGACAUCCAGAUCACUGCUUGGUCUCUUUCCUUCUACUAUAUUCAGAGUCCCACUUCGGGUACGUUAAGUUCAGAUGUUCUACUGAGCAAAUCCCAUACAACUACUUAUGUGUUUCUUCAACCUUGACCUUGAAUUCUAGGACUAUCCUGUUUGGCGUUUGAAAAGAACAGUGCAUAGCACAGUAAUAUAGUCAACAUAGUCCUUUGGUAAGUGAAGACAGAUUAUAUGUUUCUAGUCUUAAUAUUUCACACUAAGAAGAAGGGUUCAUGAAGUAUUA
This 1160-nucleotide long non-coding RNA is filed under the name Marmota monax (woodchuck). The record is from RNAcentral. Lineage: Eukaryota; Metazoa; Chordata; Mammalia; Rodentia; Sciuridae.